This 230-nucleotide ribosomal RNA is filed under the name uncultured bacterium. RNAcentral describes it as "partial 16S ribosomal RNA". It matches the Rfam family "Bacterial small subunit ribosomal RNA", at positions 118 to 347 of the family's 1533-position model. The record is from RNAcentral.
UGAGGAACAUGACCUUCGGCGGGGGAUAGCCGGCCCAACGGCCGGGUAAUACCGCGUACGACCACAUGGGGACAUCCCUGAGUGGUGAAAGCAGCAAUGCGCCGAUGGAGUGCCUCGCGGCCUAUCAGCUAGUUGGUGAGGUAACGGCUCACCAAGGCGACGACGGGUANCUGGUCUGAGAGGAUGGCCAGCCACAUUGGGACUGAGACACGGCCAGACCUNUACGGGAG